RNAcentral lists this ribosomal RNA (772 nucleotides) under uncultured Neocallimastigales. Its description in RNAcentral is "partial large subunit ribosomal RNA". It matches the Rfam family "Eukaryotic large subunit ribosomal RNA", at positions 24 to 616 of the family's 3401-position model. Lineage: Eukaryota; Fungi; Neocallimastigomycota; Neocallimastigomycetes; Neocallimastigales. The record is from RNAcentral.
UACGACUACAUAUCAGGCAUAUCAAUAAGCGGAGGAAAAGAAACUAACUAGGAUUCCCUCAGUAACGGCGAGUGAAGCGGGAAGAGCUCAAAUUUGAAAUCUUCAAGGUUCUACCUUGACGAAUUGUAGUUUAAAGAAGUGUUUUCUGUUGGAGUUUUGGUAAAAGUUCUUUGGAAUAGGACAUCAUAGAGGGUGAGAAUCCCGUAUUUGACCAUUAUUUCAGCUGUGAGAUACACUUUCAAAGAGUCGGAUUGUUUGGGAAUGCAGUCCAAAAUGGGUGGUAAAUUUCAUCUAAAGCUAAAUAUUGGCGAGAGACCGAUAGCGAACAAGUACCGUGAGGGAAAGAUGAAAAGAACUUUGAAAAGAGAGUUAAACAGUACGUGAAAUUGUCAAAAGGGAAGCGUUUGACACCAGUGUUGUUUUCUCGAAAAUCAAUUAAAAAAGGUGGAUUUUGUGUUGUAUUGACCUUAUCAGCUUUCUGCACUCUUUUCCAGCUUUCUUUAAUGCACUUUUCGUUUAACAAGUCAACAUCAAUUUCUUUUGUUGUAAAAGGGUCAUUGGAAGGUGGCUUUCUCUUCGGAGAAAGUGUUUAUAGCCUUUGAUCUCUGCAAUCGGAGAGACUGAGGUCUGCAGCGUAGAUCCUUCGGGGUUAGAUACAUUUGUGCUAAGUUAUAGCCUUUCAUAGACAACUUGUUGACUAUGAUCAGUCAUGUAGCUUACUCGCUUAUGCUAUUUUACCUACGCUUAGGAUGUUGAGCGCAUGUCUCUCUCU